RNAcentral lists this ribosomal RNA (105 nucleotides) under Staphylococcus epidermidis. RNAcentral's name for it is "partial 23S ribosomal RNA". It matches the Rfam family "Bacterial large subunit ribosomal RNA", at positions 2823 to 2925 of the family's 2925-position model. The record is from RNAcentral. Lineage: Bacteria; Bacillati; Bacillota; Bacilli; Caryophanales; Staphylococcaceae.
CGGUUAUAAGAUCCCUCGAAGAUGACGAGGUUAAUAGGUUCGAGGUGGAAGCGUGGUGACACGUGGAGCUGACGAAUACUAAUCGAUCGAAGACUUAAUCAAUUU